RNAcentral lists this ribosomal RNA (484 nucleotides) under uncultured bacterium. RNAcentral describes it as "bacterial SSU rRNA". It matches the Rfam family "Bacterial small subunit ribosomal RNA", at positions 30 to 507 of the family's 1533-position model. The record is from RNAcentral.
AUUGAACGCUGGCGGCAUGCCUUACACAUGCAAGUCGAACGGCAGCACGGGAGCAAUCCUGGUGGCGAGUGGCGAACGGGUGAGUAAUAUAUCGGAACGUGCCCAGUCGUGGGGGAUAACGUAGCGAAAGCUACGCUAAUACCGCAUACGAUCUAUGGAUGAAAGCGGGGGAUCGCAAGACCUCGCGCGAUUGGAGCGGCCGAUAUCAGAUUAGGUAGUUGGUGAGGUAAAGGCUCACCAAGCCGACGAUCUGUAGCUGGUCUGAGAGGACGACCAGCCACACUGGGACUGAGACACGGCCCAGACUCCUACGGGAGGCAGCAGUGGGGAAUUUUGGACAAUGGGCGCAAGCCUGAUCCAGCAAUGCCGCGUGCAGGAUGAAGGCCUUCGGGUUGUAAAGCACUUUAAGUUGGGAGGAAGGGUAGUAACCUAAUACGUUGCUACUUUGACGUUACCGACAGAAUAAGCACCGGCUAACUUCGUG